This 163-nucleotide small nuclear RNA is filed under the name Phasianus colchicus (ring-necked pheasant). Its description in RNAcentral is "U1 spliceosomal RNA (ENSPCLG00000007032.1)". It matches the Rfam family "U1 spliceosomal RNA". Rfam says of the family: U1 is a small nuclear RNA (snRNA) component of the spliceosome (involved in pre-mRNA splicing). Its 5' end forms complementary base pairs with the 5' splice junction, thus defining the 5' donor site of an intron. Lineage: Eukaryota; Metazoa; Chordata; Aves; Galliformes; Phasianidae. The record is from Rfam by way of RNAcentral.
GUUCUUACCUGGCAGGGUAGACACCAUGAUUAGGUAGGUGGCUUUCCCAAGGGCAAGGAUCAUCCCUUGCACUCUGGGUGUGCUGACCCUUGCUGUUUCCCUAAAUGUGGGAAACUUGACUGUGUGAUUUGUAGUAGUGAGGGACUGCAUUCGCACUCUUCGA